This 815-nucleotide ribosomal RNA is filed under the name uncultured crenarchaeote. RNAcentral's name for it is "bacterial SSU rRNA". It matches the Rfam family "Archaeal small subunit ribosomal RNA", at positions 67 to 859 of the family's 1478-position model. The record is from RNAcentral. Lineage: Archaea; Thermoproteati; Thermoproteota.
UCUAGCCAAAGGAGGCGCGGCGCACAGCUCAGUAGCACGUGGCUAACCUGCCCUUGGGAUAGGAACAACCCCGGGAAACUGGGGCUAAUUCCCAAUAGGUGAAGAACUCUGGAAUGAGUCUUCGCCAGAAAGGACUCCUACACUAUGCUUGUAGGUUUCGCCCAAGGAUGGGGCCGCGACCGAUCAGGUUGUUGGUGAGGUAAUGGCUCACCAAGCCUUUUACCGGUGCGGGCCGUGGGAGCGGAAGCCCGGAGAUGGGCACUGAGACAAGGGCCCAGGCCCUACGGGGCGCAGCAGUCGCGAAAACUUUGCAAUAAGCGCAAGCUUGACAGGGCUAUCCCGAGUGCCAUCCGCUGAGGAAGGCUUUUACCCAGUCUAGAACGCUGGGGGAAUAAGGAGAGGGCAAGUCUGGUGUCAGCCGCCGCGGUAAUACCAGCUCUCUGAGUGGUGUGGAUGUUUAUUGGGCCUAAAGCAUCCGUAGCUGGCUAGGUUAGUCCCCUGUUAAAUCCACCGAAUUAAUCGUUGGAUUGCGGGGGAUACUGCUUGGCUAGGGGACGAGAGAGGCAGACGGUUUUUUCGGGGUAGGGGUGAAAUCCUAUAAUCCCGGGAAGACCACCAGUGGCGAAGGCUGUCUGCUAGAACGCGCCCGACGGUGAGGGAUGAAAGCUGGGGGAGCGAACCGGAUUAGAUACCCGGGUAGUCCCAGCUGUAAACGAUGCAGGCUAGGUGUUUGGACGGCCACGUGCCGUUCUAGUGCCGCAGGGAAGCUGUUAAGCCUGCCGCCUGGGGAGUACGAUCGCAAGAUCGAAACUUAA